Molecule: unclassified non-coding RNA, 351 nt
Filed under: soil metagenome
Description: partial contains 5.8S ribosomal RNA, internal transcribed spacer 2, and large subunit ribosomal RNA
Rfam family: 5.8S ribosomal RNA (bases 1-120)
Source: RNAcentral
GAUGAAGAACGCAGCGAAAUGCGAUAAGUAAUGUGAAUUGCAGAAUUCAGUGAAUCAUCGAAUCUUUGAACGCACAUUGCGCCCGCCAGUAUUCUGGCGGGCAUGCCUGUUCGAGCGUCAUUACAACCCUCAGGCCCCCGGGCCUGGCGUUGGGGAUCGGCGGAGCCCCCCGUGGGCACACGCCGUCCCCCAAAUACAGUGGCGGUCCCGCCGCAGCUUCCAUCGCGUAGUAGCUAACACCUCGCGACUGGAGAGCGGCGCGGCCACGCCGUAAAACACCCAACUCUUCUGAAGUUGACCUCGAAUCAGGUAGGAAUACCCGCUGAACUUAAGCAUAUCAAUAAGCGGAGG